Molecule: ribosomal RNA, 460 nt
Filed under: uncultured bacterium
Lineage: Bacteria
Description: partial 16S ribosomal RNA
Rfam family: Bacterial small subunit ribosomal RNA
Source: RNAcentral
CCUACGGGAGGCAGCAGUGAGGAAUAUUGGUCAAUGGGCGCUAGCCUGAACCAGCCAAGUAGCGUGAAGGAUGACUGCCCUAUGGGUUGUAAACUUCUUUUGUAUGGGAGUAAAGUGCAGUAUGUAUACUGCUUUGCAUGUACCUUAUGAAUAAGGAUCGGCUAACUCCGUGCCAGCAGCCGCGGUAAUACGGAGGAUUCGAGCGUUAUCCGGAUUUAUUGGGGUUAAAGGGAGCGUAGGCGGGUUGUUAAGUCAGUUGUGAAAGUUUGCGGCUCAACCGUAAAAUUGCAGUUGAUACUGGCAGCCUUGAGUACAGUAGAGGUAGGCGGAAUUCGUGGUGUAGCGGUGAAAUGCUUAGAUAUCACGAAGAACCCCGAUUGCGAAGGCAGCCUGCUGGACUGUAACUGACGCUGAUGCUCGAAAGUGUGGGUAUCAAACAGGAUUAGAUACCCGAGUAGUC